CCGCGCGCCCGCGCGGGCGCGCGGGGGGCCCGCCGGGGGGCGUGCGCGUCCGGCGCCGUCCGUCCGUCCGUCCGUUCGUCUUCCUCCCUCCCGGCCUCCCCGCCGGCUGUGGGGGAGGGGGGGGCCCGCGCGUCCCCGGUCGGCGCGCCCCGCUUCUUCGGCUCCCGCCUCCUCCCCGUUCCCCGCCGGGGCGGCUCGUCCGCUCCGGGCCGGGACGGGSGCUCCGGGGGGCGCGGGUGGGAGCCGCGGAGGCGGCCGCGCCGAGCCGGGUCCGUGGCCCGCCGGCCCCCGUCCCGGGGGGUGGCCGCGCGGGCCCGGGGGUCGGCCACCCCGGGGUCCCGGCCCUCGCG
RNAcentral lists this unclassified non-coding RNA (350 nucleotides) under Pongo abelii (Sumatran orangutan). RNAcentral describes it as "external transcribed spacer". The record is from RNAcentral. Lineage: Eukaryota; Metazoa; Chordata; Mammalia; Primates; Hominidae.